Dendronephthya gigantea is the source of this 72-nucleotide small nucleolar RNA. The record is from RefSeq and is a predicted model, not a curated record. Lineage: Eukaryota; Metazoa; Cnidaria; Anthozoa; Malacalcyonacea; Nephtheidae.
UGUUCUAUGAUGAUAGUAUUGUCGCCCCAGUCUGAUAUUUCAUGACUGAUUGACAUCAAUUUCUGAGAAAAA